UGAAUACUCCCUCCGUCCAAAAAUACUUGUCGUAGAAAUGGAUACAAAUGGAAGUAUCUAGAACUAAAAUACAUCUAGAUACAUCUAUUCCUCGGACAAGUAUUUCCGGACGGAGGGAGUAUAUA
This is a non-coding RNA of Triticum urartu, 125 nucleotides long. The record is from Rfam. NCBI's taxonomy places the organism in Eukaryota, Viridiplantae, Streptophyta, Magnoliopsida, Poales, Poaceae.